Molecule: ribosomal RNA, 114 nt
Filed under: Citrobacter koseri
Lineage: Bacteria; Pseudomonadati; Pseudomonadota; Gammaproteobacteria; Enterobacterales; Enterobacteriaceae
Also listed under: 1 other name
Source: RNAcentral
UCUGGCGGCCGUAGCGCGGUGGUCCCACCUGACCCCAUGCCGAACUCAGAAGUGAAACGCCGUAGCGCCGAUGGUAGUGUGGGGUCUCCCCAUGCGAGAGUAGGGAACUGCCAG